GGGGAAUCUUCCGCAAUGGACGAAAGUCUGACGGAGCAACGCCGCGUGAGUGAUGAAGGCUUUCGGGUCGUAAAACUCUGUUGUUAGGGAAGAACAAGUACGAGAGUAACUGCUCGUACCUUGACGGUACCUAACCAGAAAGCCACGGCUAACUACGUGCCAGCAGCCGCGGUAAUACGUAGGUGGCAAGCGUUAUCCGGAAUUAUUGGGCGUAAAGCGCGCGCAGGCGGUUUCUUAAGUCUGAUGUGAAAGCCCACGGCUCAACCGUGGAGGGUCAUUGGAAACUGGGGAACUUGAGUGCAGAAGAGAAAAGCGGAAUUCCACGUGUAGCGGUGAAAUGCGUAGAGAUGUGGAGGAACACCAGUGGCGAAGGCGGCUUUUUGGUCUGUAACUGACGCUGAGGCGCGAAAGCGUGGGGAGCAAACAGGAUUAGAUACCCUGGUAGUCC
RNAcentral lists this ribosomal RNA (448 nucleotides) under Priestia megaterium. RNAcentral describes it as "bacterial SSU rRNA". It matches the Rfam family "Bacterial small subunit ribosomal RNA", at positions 356 to 796 of the family's 1533-position model. The record is from RNAcentral. Lineage: Bacteria; Bacillati; Bacillota; Bacilli; Caryophanales; Bacillaceae.